UACACACACGCACCCCCGCGCGCACACGCCCGCCGCUCUGCCUCUGCGCCCUCCGCCCAGGCUCAUUCUCUCGCUUCCCCUGCGGUCUCUCGCUCUGCGCGCGCACACCACACACGCACACGCACACACGCGCGCACACACGCAGCCGGCACAGGCGGCGGCGGCUGCCCAAGUCAGGACGAACCUCUCUAGGUACCGUCUUGAGAAGGCGGCAGUGGCGGCGGCAGCCCGGGCAUCCCUCCUCAGCCGGAGAGGGAGCUCCGCCGAGAGUUUCCGUUCCCUUCGCCGUUUCCUUCCCCCUCCUUUUCUUUAUUUUCGAGAGAAUUUCUUCGCGUAUUGGUUUAAUUUGAUUUUGAAUUUUUUUGGUUGCUUUUUUCUGUAUGCUUUUUCUUCCCUUUCCUCAUUUUAUUUGCAUCCAGAGCAUGGCGGGCUGCGGGCUGUCGAAAGAUACCUUCUUCUCUUCCUUCUUUUACAACUACGGCUCCUCCUGGGAAACCCCUUCCAACCAGCCCAGCGGGAACCCAAGAAAGAAGCUGGAGCCGGCACGUUACCCCAAACAACUCCAGGCAAAACCGGGGAACUCGAGCGCAACCUUCCCCAAGUCGCCGCGGGCGCCGCGCCCCUGUGCGCCCCGCGCCUGCCCGCCCUCCAGUUGCACCGAGGGGCUGCGGAGCUGCGAGUCUCCCGCGACGACGUGCUCUUCCUUCUCCACUCCCCCUGGGCCCCGAGCCACCUCUUUCCCUAAAAUGGCUGCAAUCUCAAGUGGAGGCGUCCCCUGACCCCGCGGAGGGGGGAGGGCAGAGUGGAUGCCCCGAUGCCCAUGACCCCGCGCCUCCCCCGGCGCGCACAAGCACCCCACAACCACACACACUUAACUUUGAUGACUGUGCAAUGCAGUGUGGCUGCAUCGUGCCCUCAACGCUCCCCACCGCUGGCCUCUAGUGGUGCGGUAUGAACUUUAAGAUAAAGUACAGAAACAAAUGAGCGAUGUACAUCAUUCAGAGGAAGGUGCCCCCAAGUGCUACUGAAGCUUCAAUCCCUGGGGCUAAAUGCAAGCAGGCAGUGCGCUUCACCAGAAUUCGCGGUUUCCUGUGUAGCCACAUCGCUGUUUCCAGGGACGAAGAACGUCUGUGCGUAAGGACCUAGGUUCUCCCUGAUUUCCAGCUUGCGUUUUCCGCGUGCGAGCAUGGGCAAGCGACCGAGAAACCUGCUCCUAACUGUUCCUACGGAGAGGAAAAAAAAUAAUAAAACAAGGGCAACACUUUACAUCUCAUCUUGGACUCUGGGCAAGGCUGCUAGAGAGAGGCCUGGGCCAAAUUUGAAAGAGUGAGGCUUAUUCAUGAUUUUUACCUGAAUUGCUGCCAAAAAGCUUACAAAUCCUCUGUUCCCUAAAAAUAGCAAUGCUCUUCAAAUGUAAUUUGUUUACUCCACCUCAAUUAAAAAUAAAACCCUCUUCCUAGUGUAUAAAGUGCUUGUGAGGUAAGGGUUGCUUGUACUGAAAAAAAAAUCAAGCUUUUUAUUUCUAGAUCAAUAUGAUGUGCUCUCAACAUCUAAUACCAUGUAAAAGGAGCCUUUUUAUACAACAUCAAUAGCGGGCAGGCAUGUCUCCUUAAGAAGCUCUUUUCCUGGAAUCACAAGGCAUUUUUGAUUACUUUCAUUUUCACAAGAAACUUGAUUAUGACACCUCCGGUUAUAAACAAGCGAGCGAAAGAAAUAAUAAAGAUGGGGGUUCUUUAUAGAGAGACCUGGACAUUUGGGAACAACUCGGGUAUUUAUUUAUUCAUUACUAAACACAAACACAAAAAACCAAACCCAGGCAUGAAUCAUUGUUGACUGGGAGGUUUUUAGUUAUUCUCUGACGUUUUAUUAUUAAAACUGCUGGUGGUGGGGAUUGGGGUAAUGUUUUGGGAGAGAGCCCAGUGUGUAUUAGAGCCGAAACUGCAUCUGUUACCAUUUAAAAAAACUGGGAAAUUCCAUCUUAUAUCUGAGUAGAUCAUGUUGUAGAUGCUUUGCACCCACUUUGCCAAUGUGCAAAACAUACCAUAGUCAGAGGGUGUAUGUGGGGGGGAAGCAUCUGUUUAGGUGGAAUUUAUUUCUUCAAUUAGAAUGAAAACCCCAAUUAAAAUGUGUAUGUGAAAUGUCUCUGAUUUGGCUCAGUGCAGCCGACAACAGACCAUUCUGUAAUUUACAGUUUCGCACCUAGGGAUGGCAGUAGUGCGAGCUUCCAAACCCAGCUUUAUCUUUUCGUGCUGUGCUUUUCAACCUGGGAGCCUCCUGGAGUUGCUGAAGCCUCGGUCUCCACCUCGAAGCGGACCACAGGGUGGUCGUGACUGCUUGCUGUUUGGACCUGGGUCACCUUAUUAGUUGUCCCUGUGUAAGUUCAAAUAGAAGCAGGCCAGGUCUGUAUGAUAGUGAGUCAAUUGAAAGUGAAAAACGGAGCCAAUUAGCUGACUGCUUGGGUGUCCGUGAGGCCAAACCUCUGACUCGAUUCACCCGACUGGGCAGUUCUUUGUUUACAGGGGUGCUGAACCCGCAUUCGCGAAAAAGACAUUACCAACACAUUGGACAGUGCUUUUUUUUUUUUUUUUUUA
This is a long non-coding RNA of Artibeus jamaicensis (Jamaican fruit-eating bat), 2591 nucleotides long. RefSeq lists it as uncharacterized. The transcript is spliced from 3 exons. NCBI's taxonomy places the organism in Eukaryota, Metazoa, Chordata, Mammalia, Chiroptera, Phyllostomidae. The record is from RefSeq and is a predicted model, not a curated record.